This is an RNA transcript of Tarenaya hassleriana, 652 nucleotides long. It is a transcript of the gene named guanine nucleotide-binding protein subunit gamma 1, with no coding region annotated. NCBI's taxonomy places the organism in Eukaryota, Viridiplantae, Streptophyta, Magnoliopsida, Brassicales, Cleomaceae. The transcript is spliced from 4 exons. The record is from RefSeq and is a predicted model, not a curated record.
GCCCGUGAGAAGAAGAAAGCCCAUUGUUUUGUCGGGUCGGGUCGGGUAACUAAUAAGGGGCGUCUUUUUCACAUUGAGAGGAAGAAAAUUGAAAUUUGUCUGGACGCCCAGAGUGUGUCAGAUCUGCGAGAUUUCACUGAGAAGGAUAAUGUGAAAGGGAGAUCAUGGCAGAGGAAAUGGAGAUAUCCGCUGUUUCUGCAGGAGGAGGAGGAGGCAAGCACAGGAUCCUCGCCGAACUCGCCCGCGUCGAGCAGGAACUCGCCUUCUUGGAGAAAGAGUUGGAAGAGCUUGAGCAGACAGAUAUGGUGUCAACUGUGUGUGAGGAGUAAGUGAGAAUUGUUGUUCAGUGCCAUUGAGGCCAUCCCUGACCCUUUGCUGCCGCUAACAAAUGGCCCUUUCAACAUGGCGUGGGACCGAUGGUUUGAAGGACCCAAUGGAGCACAAGGCUGCCGAUGCCUCAUCCUUUGAUCCUACAAACUCAUCUUCAACAUAUAUAUUUCUGUCUUCAUGAGGUAUUGAGAGAUUAUCACACGUGAUUCUUUCAACUUGUCUUGAUCCCAUUAAAAUGUAAAGAUGCUCUUGUAUUCUGAUUACUUGACAUUUACUUAUAGUUACAAAGGGCAAUGGGGAGUACGGUCUUGUUUUCUGAGUU